RNAcentral lists this unclassified non-coding RNA (257 nucleotides) under Hevea brasiliensis (rubber tree). The record is from RNAcentral. Lineage: Eukaryota; Viridiplantae; Streptophyta; Magnoliopsida; Malpighiales; Euphorbiaceae.
GCAAGUGAAUCAUCUAGCUCCGGCUAUGCUUUCCAUAUUGCUUUUACCAUCACUUAUUAGAGGUUCCCCAAGCCGAAUAGUUAAUGUGAAUUCUACAAUGCACUAUGUCGGGUUUGUCGAUCCAGAAGAUAUGAAUGUUGUAUCCGGAAAGAGAAAGUACACCAGUGUAGUGGGAUAUGGAGGCAGCAAGCUUGCUCAGAUUAUGUUCAGUAGCAUCCUUCAUAAGAGACUACCUGCUGAAUCUGGCAUAAGUGUAG